GCGCGAAAACUUUACAAUGCUGGCAACAGCGAUAAGGGAACCUCGAGUGCCAGGUUACAAAUCUGGCUGUCGAGAUGCCUAAAAAGCAUUUCAUAGCAAGGGCCGGGCAAGACCGGUGCCAGCCGCCGCGGUAACACCGGCGGCUCGAGUGGUAACCGUUAUUAUUGGGUCUAAAGGGUCUGUAGCCGGCCGGAUAAGUCUCUUGAGAAAUCUGGCAGCUUAACUGUCAGGCUUUCAGGAGAUACUGUCUGGCUCGAGGCCGGGAGAGGUGAGAGGUACUUCAGGGGUAGGGGUGAAAUCUUGUAAUCCUUGAAGGACCACCAGUGGCAAAGGCGUCUCACCAGAACGGACCUGACGGCAAGGGACGAAAGCUAGGG
Molecule: ribosomal RNA, 377 nt
Filed under: uncultured bacterium
Lineage: Bacteria
Description: bacterial SSU rRNA
Rfam family: Archaeal small subunit ribosomal RNA
Source: RNAcentral